UACAGAGGUCUCGAGCGUUAGGCGGAAUCACUGGGCUUAAAGCGUGUGUAGGUGGAUGCCUAAGUACCUUGUGAAAUCCCACGGCUCACCCGUGGAACUGCUGGGUAUACUGGGCGUCUUGAGCCACCUAGGGGCCAGCGGAACAAAUGGUGGAGCGGUGAAAUGCGUAGAUAUCAUUUGGAACGCCAACGGUGAAAACAGCUGGCUGGGGGUGUGCUGACGCUGAGACACGAAAGCCAGGGGAGCGAACGGG
RNAcentral lists this ribosomal RNA (253 nucleotides) under uncultured bacterium. RNAcentral describes it as "partial 16S ribosomal RNA". It matches the Rfam family "Bacterial small subunit ribosomal RNA", at positions 524 to 776 of the family's 1533-position model. The record is from RNAcentral.